RNAcentral lists this ribosomal RNA (374 nucleotides) under uncultured organism. RNAcentral describes it as "partial 16S ribosomal RNA". It matches the Rfam family "Bacterial small subunit ribosomal RNA", at positions 527 to 896 of the family's 1533-position model. The record is from RNAcentral.
GGAGGGUGCAAGCGUUGUUCGGAAUCACUGGGCGUAAAGCGCGUGCAGGGCGGCUGGUUAAGUCUGGGUGUGAAAGCCCGGGGGCUCACCCCCGGAAGUGCGCUGGAAACUGGCCAGCUAGAGUAUGGGAGAGGGAAGUGGAAUUCCUGGUGUAGCGGUGAAAUGCGUAGAUAUCAGGAGGAACACCGGCGGCGAAGGCGGCUUCCUGGACCAAUACUGACGCUGAGACGCGAAAGCGUGGGGAGCAAACAGGAUUAGAUACCCUGGUAGUCCACGCUGUAAACGAUGGGUACUAGGUGGCGCGGGUGUUGACCCCUGCGCUGCCGUAGCUAACGCAUUAAGUACCCCGCCUGGGGACUACGGUCGCAAGAUUA